UACGGAGGGGGCUAGCGUUGUUCGGAAUUACUGGGCGUAAAGCGCGCGUAGGCGGACCUGCAAGUCGGGGGUGAAAGCCCGAGGCUCAACCUCGGAACUGCCUUCGAUACUGCGGGUCUCGAGUCCGGGAGAGGUGAGUGGAAUUCCUAGUGUAGAGGUGAAAUUCGUAGAUAUUAGGAAGAACACCAGUGGCGAAGGCGGCUCACUGGCCCCGGUACUGGACGCUGAGG
Molecule: ribosomal RNA, 230 nt
Filed under: uncultured bacterium
Lineage: Bacteria
Description: partial 16S ribosomal RNA
Rfam family: Bacterial small subunit ribosomal RNA
Source: RNAcentral